This is a long non-coding RNA of Melopsittacus undulatus (budgerigar), 605 nucleotides long. RefSeq lists it as uncharacterized. The transcript has 3 exons. The record is from RefSeq and is a predicted model, not a curated record. Lineage: Eukaryota; Metazoa; Chordata; Aves; Psittaciformes; Psittaculidae.
GGAAACUUUCUGCUCUAGCACUGCAUCUGGGGUGGUAAAAGUGCUUCUGUGCUCUGCCUAGGUAAUGGAAGAGGAUGACAGAUCUGAGCUACUCCUGGGUGAAUCACACUGGGCAAGUGGAAUUUCUCAUGAGCACCUGAAUAACACCUAUGAGAAAAGAGCAAUGGGCUGGACCAAACAACUGUGAAUUUGGGUUUACAAUGAUGCUAAAGGAUUCAGUUAACCACCUCUCAGCACUCUGCCAUACACCAGCUUCACAGGAAAAAGAAAAGCAGAUCUGGCUUUACAUCCAAAUGAAGAAAAUCUGCCAUGCUAAUAGUUGCUUUCAUGUUCCACACGACUUUCACAGAAACAAAUACUUACAGUCUAGAGGACAGUCUCAACAAAUUUAGUUCAUAUUUUACCAGUAAACUGGUUAGAUUCUCUUUUUCUACACUCUGUAAUGUUGCUUCGAUGUAUUUUCAAAGGGUUUGUAGUGUGCUGGCUUUCUCAAGCAGAAUACAUCUGGAACAGUUUUUGUGCAGCUGUGUUAGGUCCAUUCUCUUCCCUUUGCUUUUAUCUGCUCCCCUAUCUGUCUUUUAUACUAUAAUUAUUUGGAAUACUUU